CGCGUAGGCGGCUGGAUAAGUCAGAUGUGAAAGUCCAUGGCUCAACUGUGGAAGUGCAUUUGAAACUGUCUAGCUUGAGUAUCGGAGGGGAGUGUGGAAUUCCCGGUGUAGAGGUGAAAUUCGUAGAGAUCGGGAGGAACACCGGUGGCGAAGGCGACACUCUGGACGAAUACUGACGCUGAGGCGCGAAAGCGUGGGGAGCAAACA
Molecule: ribosomal RNA, 207 nt
Filed under: uncultured bacterium
Lineage: Bacteria
Description: partial 16S ribosomal RNA
Rfam family: Bacterial small subunit ribosomal RNA
Source: RNAcentral